CCUACGGGGGGCAGCAGUGGGGAAUAUUGGGCAAUGGGCGCAAGCCUGACCCAGCAACGCCGCGUGAAGGAAGAAGGCUUUCGGGUUGUAAACUUCUUUUCUCAGGGACGAAGCAAGUGACGGUACCUGAGGAAUAAGCCACGGCUAACUACGUGCCAGCAGCCGCGGUAAUACGUAGGUGGCAAGCGUUAUCCGGAUUUACUGGGUGUAAAGGGCGUGUAGGCGGGAAAGCAAGUCAGAGGUGAAAACCAUGGGCUCAACCUGUGGCCUGCAUUUGAAACUGUUUUUCUUGAGUGCUGGAGAGGAAGACGGAAUUCCUAGUGUAGCGGUGAAAUGCGUAGAUAUUAGGAGGAACACCAGUGGCGAAGGCGGUCUGCUGGACAGCAACUGACGCUGAGGCGCGAAAGCGUGGGGAGCAAACAGGAUUAGAUACCCCAGUAGUC
This 443-nucleotide ribosomal RNA is filed under the name uncultured bacterium. Its description in RNAcentral is "partial 16S ribosomal RNA". It matches the Rfam family "Bacterial small subunit ribosomal RNA", at positions 338 to 795 of the family's 1533-position model. The record is from RNAcentral.